GAUAAAAUGGACUCUAUAUACAAGCUGAAGAUUUUUGUGAUGUUUUUAUCUCAAGCUACUUUCACAGUCAUGGUGAUACUGAAUGCUGGAAACGCCACUGGACUAUUCAAAGGUCUGUUCCGGACAACCCCUGGAAACAUCUCGGAUAAGUACAACACUGACUUCACACCAGCUGGCUGGACUUUCCUCAUCUGGAAUGUCAUCUAUGCCUGGCAGCUUGCCUGGCUCCUGUACGCCUUGUCAGGGAUCUGUCGAAGGAAUGAACUUGGAUGUGUAUACAUAAAGCCAGACUUGUUGCCAACACCUUUUUACGUGGCAUGGAUUCUAAAUAAUGGACUCAAUGUUGGAUGGCUAUUUCUGUGGGACCGAGAAUACCUCCUCCCAGCCCUGGUGCUCCUGGUAGCCCUCACUCUUGCCACGUGUGCUGCUCUCUUCAUCUCACACAGAGCCUUGAGUAUCCAUUCCUCGUGGUUUGUGAAGGGUCACAAAGCUGAACUCUGGCUCAUCCGGAUCCUAGUUCAGAAUGGGCUGGCGCUGUAUGCCACGUGGACCACCAUUGCCUCUCUGCUGAAUUUUGCUGUUGUGUUGAUCUACAAGUGGGAUGUGUCCAACGAGAUAGCAACAACUACCUCUUUGAGCAUCCUUACUCUCCUCCUAGUAAUAUGGUUUUAUCAAGAAAACUUCUUUCUUGACAAGUACGUCCGUUAUAACCUCACUAUCUACCCAGUGGUCGUAGUGGCUCUGACUGGAAGCGCGUGCAAGAACUUCUCACUUUCAUCCCCAACCACCAACGGCAUUUUUAUAGUUAUACUGUUGGCAGUGACUUGUCUUAUCUUUGCUGUUCGCCUGGGAUUAGUCAUAUGGAGGCACUGUAAGAGACCACUAGAAGCACCAAGAAGCCCACAUCCAUCAGGCACAGUGGCCUGA
RNAcentral lists this long non-coding RNA (927 nucleotides) under Anser brachyrhynchus (Pink-footed goose). Its description in RNAcentral is "lncRNA (ENSABRG00000002943.1)". Lineage: Eukaryota; Metazoa; Chordata; Aves; Anseriformes; Anatidae. The record is from RNAcentral.